RNAcentral lists this non-coding RNA (29 nucleotides) under Mus musculus (house mouse). The record is from RNAcentral. Lineage: Eukaryota; Metazoa; Chordata; Mammalia; Rodentia; Muridae.
UAAGUAAGGACCAGUUUCUUUGGCUACUG